UUCUCUCCUAGAGUGUCCACAUAGGAUGCCACAUAGAUAAUUCAGUUCAUGGUUUUUUGACACGUGUCCAACAGGAAAAUAGCAGCGUUUCAUUAAAAUUUAACAUCUUGGUCUCAUCCAACCCUACGGCUGCGACGAAGAACGUGGAAACGGCUGUAUUCAUAAGCAGAGGAGGAGAAGAGGCUUCGAUGGACGACGAAUCAUAUAUACUCCAUAUGCAUAUGGCUCAUCUGCCGUUGCGUCUCUGGCUUCACCGAUGCGUCUCCGGUUUCGCCGCUGCGUCUCCAAAUUAUCCCUCUUAGAUGAAUCUCCAAAGCGUCACGAAAACUUAACCGAAGGCGUCAAUCUUAAACCUGUUUCCUUCAUGUCUCAGUUCCAUAGAUCACGACCUGAUUGUAAUUUAUGCGCUUCUUGGGUUAGGUUCUAUCUCUGUGAGUUUUGUUUCUAACUCACAUUUAGAUUUGUAAAAUUGAUGUUUCAAUGAAAAUUUUGUUUUGUUCUUAGUGCAACAAGCGAACCUGGAACCAUUGCUUUUAUUUCAUUUUGAAUGGUGCUUGAUUUGUGAUUUGACGAGUGAUUAGAUAAAAGGAUGAAUGCUUUAAUCACUUUGUGUUUCCAUGGUCAUAUGUUUCUGCAAACGAAGAAGUAUUGUGUACUACUUUAUAUUAAGGAGAAAAUUUUGAAGAAGCUAUCUAAGCAGCAGCUUUAAGGUUUGCGUGUGUGGACCGUGGUCAGACAGAGAAUAGCUGUUGUAGUCAGACAGAGAAUAUAUGUUGUGUGAAGUGUCCAUUCUGUAGAAGAGGCAGAGACGGUGUCAGCAAUGUCGUGUAAUGAUUUUAAUUUCUCAAGGCUGCAACCAUGACUUGCCGGUAAGACAUACACCCAUAGAACGUUUCAUAUCUAUAUAGUGUUUGGCUUUGUGGUUUCUUAUAUCAAUGUUGAGAUAUCUCUUUGUGUUCUUUGUAUGUGUGGGCAUGAGUUUUGCUACUGUUGUGGAGUGGAGUACAGUGAAGGACAACAGAGUUGCACAUGUGCUUUGUGGUGGAUUGUUGCAGGAAGUUUACAGAGGAAAGCAAAAUACGGUAUGCUUGGAGCAAAUACGCUGAGCUAGAGAGGUCUCUUGCUGAGACUGAACUAGCUAGAACUAUCUUUGAGCUUGCAAUCUCUCAGUCAGCACUUGACAUGCCCUAACUGCUAUGGAAGACGUAUAUAGGUUUUGAGAUAUCAGAAGGAGAAUCAGAGAGGACGUGAGCUUUAUAUGAGCGACUAUAGGACCACACAAGGCAUUACAAGGUGUGGCGGUGUAGGUUAGUUUUGCAAAGUUUGAAGCUUAUGCUGCGGAUCAAGAAGAAGACAAGGAAGAAGAAGACAAGGAAGAGGAAGACCAAGAAGAAAUAGUUGCUAUUGAACUAAAAAAAGAGUGCAUCAGACGUGCCUGAGCUCUUUUCGAGAGAGCCAACAGCUACUACAAAGACUCUGCACCAGAGUUGAAAGAAGAAUGAGCUACACUAUUGGAAGACUGGCUUAACAUGUAGACCAACUUUGGUAAUCUCGAGGAUGUGAGUGUGGUACAAUCUAAUCUCCCGAAGAAUCCCAAGAAGAAAAAAAACAACCACUAGAGAAGAUGGGUCUACAGAGUAUGAAGAAUACAUUGAUUACCUAUAUCCAGAAGAAUCGCAGACAACAAAUCUCAAGAUUCUUGAAGCUGCUUACAAGUGGAAGAAGCAGAAACUUGCAGCUUCUGAGGAGGAUUACGAUUAUUACCAAGUUUCUUUUGAGUUAUAUCAAAACUGUGAGUUGAUAUUUUUUGGAUUGUGUUAAAACUCACUGUUAUUGUUGUUUGUUUAUUUUGGCAUUAGACCUUUAGGUUUGUGUUCUCUGUACAUCGCCAUUGUUGUUAUGUUAUAGUCACUAACAUGUAUCUAACAAUUGCUUAAACUUUUGGUUUGUCCUCCAUGGUGAUUUGAAUAAUGCUGAUUUUGGAAUAUUA
Brassica rapa (field mustard) is the source of this 1990-nucleotide long non-coding RNA. RefSeq lists it as uncharacterized. NCBI's taxonomy places the organism in Eukaryota, Viridiplantae, Streptophyta, Magnoliopsida, Brassicales, Brassicaceae. The record is from RefSeq and is a predicted model, not a curated record.